RNAcentral lists this unclassified non-coding RNA (432 nucleotides) under soil metagenome. RNAcentral describes it as "partial contains 5.8S ribosomal RNA, internal transcribed spacer 2, and large subunit ribosomal RNA". The stretch from base 1 to 120 matches the Rfam family "5.8S ribosomal RNA", at positions 35 to 154 of the family's 154-position model. The record is from RNAcentral.
GAUGAAGAACGUAGCGAAAUGCGAUACGUAAUGUGAAUUGCAGAAUUCAGUGAAUCAUCGAAUCUUUGAACGCAUAUUGCGCUCUCUGGUAUUCCGGAGAGCAUGCUUGUUUGAGUAUCAGUAAACACCUCAACUCCCUUUUCUUUUUUGAAAUGGGAGCUGGACUUGAGUGAUCCCAACACUUUUCUCACUGGAAAGUGGCGGGUCACUUGAAAUGCAGGUGCAGCUGGACUUUUCUCUGAGCUAUAAGCAUAUCUAUUUAGUCUGCCUAAAAAACAGAUUAUUACCUUUGCUGCAGCUAACAUAAAGGAGAUGAGUUCUUGUGCUGACUGAUGCAGGAUUCACAGAGACAGCUUUGCGGCUGACUUUGUAAACUCGAUCUCAAAUCAAGUAAGACUACCCGCUGAACUUAAGCAUACAAUAAGCGGAGGA